GGGUUGUGAGGUUAAGCGACUAAGCGUACACGGUGGAUGCCCUGGCAGUCAGAGGCGAUGAAGGACGUGCUAAUCUGCGAUAAGCGCCGGUAAGGUGAUAUGAACCGUUAUAACCGGCGAUUUCCGAAUGGGGAAACCCAGUGUGAUUCGUCACACUAUCAUUAACUGAAUCCAUAGGUUAAUGAGGCGAACCGGGGGAACUGAAACAUCUAAGUACCCCGAGGAAAAGAAAUCAACCGAGAUUCCCCCAGUAGCGGCGAGCGAACGGGGAGGAGCCCAGAGCCUGAAUCAGCAUGUGUGUUAGUGGAAGCGUCUGGAAAGGCGCGCGAUACAGGGUGACAGCCCCGUACACAAAAGCGCAUGUGCUGUGAGCUCGAUGAGUAGGGCGGGACACGUGGUAUCCUGUCUGAAUAUGGGGGGACCAUCCUCCAAGGCUAAAUACUCCUGACUGACCGAUAGUGAACCAGUACCGUGAGGGAAAGGCGAAAAGAACCCCGGCGAGGGGAGUGAAAAAGAACCUGAAACCGUGUACGUACAAGCAGUGGGAGCACAGGUUUACCUGUGUGACUGCGUACCUUUUGUAUAAUGGGUCAGCGACUUAUAUUCUGUAGCAAGGUUAACCGUAUAGGGGAGCCGGAGGGAAACCGAGUCUUAACCGGGCGUUAAGUUGCAGGGUAUAGACCCGAAACCCGGUGAUCUAGCCAUGGGCAGGUUGAAGGUUGGGUAACACUAACUGGAGGACCGAACCGACUAAUGUUGAAAAAUUAGCGGAUGACCUGUGGCUGGGGGUGAAAGGCCAAUCAAACCGGGAGAUAGCUGGUUCUCCCCGAAAGCUAUUUAGGUAGCGCCUCGUGAAUUCAUCUCCGGGGGUAGAGCACUGUUUCGGCUAGGGGGCCAUCCCGGCUUACCAACCCGAUGCAAACUGCGAAUACCGGAGAAUGUUAUCACGGGAGACACACGGCGGGUGCUAACGUCCGUCGUGAAGAGGGAAACAACCCAGACCGCCAGCUAAGGUCCCAAAGUCAUGGUUAAGUGGGAAACGAUGUGGGAAGGCCCAGACAGCCAGGAUGUUGGCUUAGAAGCAGCCAUCAUUUAAAGAAAGCGUAAUAGCUCACUGGUCGAGUCGGCCUGCGCGGAAGAUGUAACGGGGCUAAACCAUGCACCGAAGCUGCGGCAGCGACACUCAGGUGUUGUUGGGUAGGGGAGCGUUCUGUAAGCCUGUGAAGGUGGCCUGUGAGGGUUGCUGGAGGUAUCAGAAGUGCGAAUGCUGACAUAAGUAACGAUAAAGCGGGUGAAAAGCCCGCUCGCCGGAAGACCAAGGGUUCCUGUCCAACGUUAAUCGGGGCAGGGUGAGUCGACCCCUAAGGCGAGGCCGAAAGGCGUAGUCGAUGGGAAACGGGUUAAUAUUCCCGUACUUGGUGUUACUGCGA
This 1430-nucleotide ribosomal RNA is filed under the name Salmonella enterica. RNAcentral's name for it is "bacterial LSU rRNA". It matches the Rfam family "Bacterial large subunit ribosomal RNA", at positions 1 to 1459 of the family's 2925-position model. RNAcentral also lists the same sequence under 1 other name. The record is from RNAcentral. Lineage: Bacteria; Pseudomonadati; Pseudomonadota; Gammaproteobacteria; Enterobacterales; Enterobacteriaceae.